Molecule: ribosomal RNA, 398 nt
Filed under: uncultured bacterium
Lineage: Bacteria
Description: bacterial SSU rRNA
Rfam family: Bacterial small subunit ribosomal RNA
Source: RNAcentral
GAAUAUUGGACAAUGGGCGCAAGCCUGAUCCAGCCAUGCCGCGUGAGUGAUGAAGGCCCUAGGGUUGUAAAGCUCUUUUGUGCGGGAAGAUAAUGACUGUACCGCAAGAAUAAGCCCCGGCUAACUUCGUGCCAGCAGCCGCGGUAAUACGAAGGGGGCUAGCGUUGCUCGGAAUCACUGGGCGGAAAGGGUGCGUAGGCGGGUCUUUAAGUUAGGGGUGAAAUCCUGGAGCUCAACUCCAGAACUGCCUUUGAUACUGAAGAUCUUGAGUUCGGGAGAGGUGAGUGGAACUGCGAGUGUAGAGGUGAAUUUCGUAGAUAUUCGCAAGAACACCCGUGCCGAAGGCGGCUAACUGGCCCGAUACUGACGCUGAGGCACGAAAGCGUGGGGAGCAAACA